CGGCGGACGGGUGAGUAACGCGUGGGUAACCUGCCUCAUACAGGGGGAUAACAGUUGGAAACGGCUGCUAAUACCGCAUAAGCGCACAGUACCGCAUGGUACGGUGUGAAAAACUCCGGUGGUAUGAGAUGGACCCGCGUCUGAUUAGGUAGUUGGUGGGGUAACGGCCUACCAAGCCGACGAUCGGUAGCCGGACUGAGAGGUUGAACGGCCACAUUGGGACUGAGACACGGCCCAG
Molecule: ribosomal RNA, 238 nt
Filed under: uncultured bacterium
Lineage: Bacteria
Description: partial 16S ribosomal RNA
Rfam family: Bacterial small subunit ribosomal RNA
Source: RNAcentral